RNAcentral lists this long non-coding RNA (297 nucleotides) under Elaeis guineensis (African oil palm). RNAcentral describes it as "long non-coding RNA (EGUI_LNC004607)". The record is from RNAcentral. Lineage: Eukaryota; Viridiplantae; Streptophyta; Magnoliopsida; Arecales; Arecaceae.
AUGCUACAAAGCCAAAAACUUGGUGUUAUGGACAUUCACUCGAGGCAUUUUAACUCCAAGAUGUUCACACAUAAUAUUUGAUUUAUGCACUCUAUGAGCAUAGAUGAUGCAAUAGCCCUCCCUAUUAAAAUGGAUAUGGGAAGUUUCCAGUUGCAGCAGCUGAUUAGAAAAAUUAGUCUUUGUUUCUUGGUCUUUAUUUUCCAAAGUACUUGCUUUGACUUUCCUUUAAAUGGAUAAUUAUGGAGUUCUAGUUCACAACUGUUAGGACUUAGGACUUGGGAGACAGGUUAAGAGGAC